Molecule: ribosomal RNA, 305 nt
Filed under: uncultured bacterium
Lineage: Bacteria
Description: bacterial SSU rRNA
Rfam family: Bacterial small subunit ribosomal RNA
Source: RNAcentral
UUCCCUACGGGGGGCAGCAGUCGGGAAUAUUGCGCAAUGGAGGAAACUCUGACGCAGUGACGCCGCGUGCAGGAAGAAGGUUUUCGGAUUGUAAACUGCUUUAGACAGGGAAGAAACAAGACAGUACCUGUAGAAUAAGCUCCGGCUAACUACGUGCCAGCAGCCGCGGUAAUACGUAGGGAGCAAGCGUUAUCCGGAUUUACUGGGUGUAAAGGGAGCGUAGACGGCGCGGCAAGUCUGAAGUGAAAGGCAGGGGCUUAACCCCUGAACUGCUUUGGAAACUGCCAUGCUAGAGUGCUGGAGAG